This 584-nucleotide ribosomal RNA is filed under the name Salmonella enterica subsp. enterica serovar Corvallis. RNAcentral describes it as "partial 23S ribosomal RNA". It matches the Rfam family "Bacterial large subunit ribosomal RNA", at positions 165 to 688 of the family's 2925-position model. The record is from RNAcentral. Lineage: Bacteria; Pseudomonadati; Pseudomonadota; Gammaproteobacteria; Enterobacterales; Enterobacteriaceae.
CAUAGGUUAAUGAGGCGAACCGGGGGAACUGAAACAUCUAAGUACCCCGAGGAAAAGAAAUCAACCGAGAUUCCCCCAGUAGCGGCGAGCGAACGGGGAGGAGCCCAGAGCCUGAAUCAGCAUGUGUGUUAGUGGAAGCGUCUGGAAAGGCGCGCGAUACAGGGUGACAGCCCCGUACACAAAAGCGCAUGUGCUGUGAGCUCGAUGAGUAGGGCGGGACACGUGGUAUCCUGUCUGAAUAUGGGGGGACCAUCCUCCAAGGCUAAAUACUCCUGACUGACCGAUAGUGAACCAGUACCGUGAGGGAAAGGCGAAAAGAACCCCGGCGAGGGGAGUGAAAAAGAACCUGAAACCGUGUACGUACAAGCAGUGGGAGCCCCACCACCAAAGCAUUCUCUGGUGUUGAAGGCCCUGCAAAGCAGCAUCGCGGUGGCGGAGCGUCGUUUGCGACGCCCAACACACAAAACAAGCGGUGAGUGCUUUGGGGUGGGGUGACUGCGUACCUUUUGUAUAAUGGGUCAGCGACUUAUAUUCUGUAGCAAGGUUAACCGAAUAGGGGAGCCGCAGGGAAACCGAGUCUUAAU